GAAAGGCGUUCAGUUUCCUCCCUCAGAAGCAGAGGCUGAAACAGCAAGACAAGAGACUGCUCAAAUCUCAUCAAAUCCUCCAACAUCUGUCCCUACUGCACCAGCUCUUUCUUCUGUAAUUGCUCCAAAGAACUCAACGAUUACAUUGGUCCCAGAACAGAUUGGAAAACUGCACAGUGAAUUGGAUAUGGUGAAAAUGAAUGUGCGAGUGAUGUCCGCCAUAUUGAUGGAGAAUACUCCUGGGUCUGAAAACCAUGAAGACAUAGAGCUUCUGCAGAAACUCUAUAAAACAGGUCGGGAGAUGCAGGAGAGGAUCAUGGACCUGCUUGUGGUGGUGGAGAAUGAAGAUGUAACUGUUGAGCUAAUUCAGGUGAAUGAGGAUUUGAAUAAUGCUAUCCUUGGAUAUGAGAGGUGAGCAGAUCAUGUACCCUCUUUACCCCUCUUCCAUUUCUACUUUCACCACCAAUUACUCAGCAUUCUUAUCAGAGUGCCUACAAGGGACCCCUCUUUCUAGAUUCUCCAUUCUCAAUAGGAAAGGUAUUGGCAUGUGGAGUGGGACAGUUUUUCCUUGUGGAGCUCCUACU
RNAcentral lists this small RNA (584 nucleotides) under Pan troglodytes (chimpanzee). RNAcentral describes it as "retained intron". The record is from RNAcentral. Lineage: Eukaryota; Metazoa; Chordata; Mammalia; Primates; Hominidae.